GACGUAGGGCGCGAGCGUUGUCCGGAUUUAUUGGGCGUAAAGAGCUCGUAGGCGGUUCGUCGCGUCGGCUGUGAAAACACGGAGCUCAACUCCGGGCCUGCAGUCGAUACGGGCGGACUUGAGUGUUGCAGGGGAGACUGGAAUUCCUGGUGUAGCGGUGAAAUGCGCAGAUAUCAGGAGGAACACCGGUGGCGAAGGCGGGUCUCUGGGCAACUACUGACGCUGAGGAGCGAAAGCGUGGGGAGCGAACAGG
RNAcentral lists this ribosomal RNA (253 nucleotides) under uncultured bacterium. RNAcentral describes it as "partial 16S ribosomal RNA". It matches the Rfam family "Bacterial small subunit ribosomal RNA", at positions 524 to 776 of the family's 1533-position model. The record is from RNAcentral.